RNAcentral lists this long non-coding RNA (203 nucleotides) under Elaeis guineensis (African oil palm). Its description in RNAcentral is "long non-coding RNA (EGUI_LNC027589)". Lineage: Eukaryota; Viridiplantae; Streptophyta; Magnoliopsida; Arecales; Arecaceae. The record is from RNAcentral.
CUUUUCUUUUUUUUUUCAGGAUAUAGCAAAUGCAGUUUAAAACAGAAUGACGAGGAAACAAACAAUCUAUGAGGCUGAAACUCCAAUCUAAAACUCAGUGAAUGACCAACUAAUGCUUGUAGAUGGGAUGCGAUUGGCCGAUAAUGGAGGCAGAUGACCCUAAUUAGGGGGUUGGCUGCCAUGGUGGCUCCCCUUCUAUCCCU